GAUGAACGCUGGCGGUAUGCUUAACACAUGCAAGUCGAACGGACUCUUCGGAGUUAGUGGCGGACGGGUGAGUAACGCGUGAGAAUCUGGCUUUGGGUUCGGGACAACCACUGGAAACGGUGGCUAAUACCGGAUGUGCCGAGAGGUAAAAGAGAAAUUGCCUGAAGAUGAGCUCGCGUCUGAUUAGCUAGUUGGUGAGGUAAAGGCUCACCAAGGCAGCGAUCAGUAGCUGGUCUGAGAGGAUGACCAGCCACACUGGGACUGAGACACGGCCCAGACUCCUACGGGAGGCAGCAGUGGGGAAUUUUCCGCAAUGGGCGAAAGCCUGACGGAGCAAUACCGCGUGAGGGAAGAAGGCUCUUGGGCUGUAAACCUCUUUUCUUAGGGAAGAACAAAAUGACGGUACCUAAGGAAUCAGCAUCGGCUAACUCCGUG
Molecule: ribosomal RNA, 435 nt
Filed under: uncultured bacterium
Lineage: Bacteria
Description: partial 16S ribosomal RNA
Rfam family: Bacterial small subunit ribosomal RNA
Source: RNAcentral